Molecule: ribosomal RNA, 253 nt
Filed under: uncultured bacterium
Lineage: Bacteria
Description: partial 16S ribosomal RNA
Rfam family: Bacterial small subunit ribosomal RNA
Source: RNAcentral
UACGUAGGGUGCGAGCGUUAAUCGGAAUUACUGGGCGUAAAGCGUGCGCAGGCGACGCGUUAAGACAGGUGUGAAAGCCCCGAGCUUAACUUGGGAAUUGCGCUUGUGACUGGCGUGCUGGAGUGUGGCAGAGGGAGGUGGAAUUCCACGUGUAGCAGUGAAAUGCGUAGAGAUGUGGAGGAACACCGAUGGCGAAGGCAGCCUCCUGGGCCAGCACUGACGCUCAUGCACGAAAGCGUGGGGAGCAAACAGG